GGAGGAGCGCAAGGCCGUCUCCACGGCGACGUCCCACGGCUCCCGGCCCCGCAACCGCGGCGUCCCCUCCUCGGGGGAGGGACCUGACGGUGGGGGCGGGCCGCCGGUGCGGGCGGAGCUGCGAGCUCCGCGGCGCGUUGCUGCGGAACCAGGGUGGAGCCCGGGGCGACGAUUCAAGCUCCGCUCUCGCUCUGCGCCGUCCGUUACACCGGUAGUGGCCGGGAUCGCCCUUCCGGCAAGGAGCAGCACCGGAGAACCCUCCCCCCGGGAGGAGGAGGAGACGGUGACGAUGACGGUGACGUUCGACGAGUACCGGCCCCACGUGGGCGACCAGGACGCCCUGAAGCUGACGGCGGCCGGGGCCGUGCAGGAGACGGGGCAGGUGGUGGCCAAGGAGCUGCGGGUCCGGCUGCACACCCCGGAGCUCACGCUGACGCUCCUGGCUCCGGCCGUGGUGGGCCAGGAGACCCCGAUCCAGGUGGUUUUCCAGAACCCCCUUCCCGAGGCUCUGACCGGGACCACCCUGAGGAUGGAGGGGGCGGGGAUCGCCUGCCCCAAACCGGUGUCGCUGGGGUGAGCCACUGGGAGGGACUGGGAGGGACUGGGAAGGGAUUGGGAGGGACUGGGAGGGGAUUGGGAGAGACCGGGAGGGACUGGGAGGGGAUUGGGGGGGACUGGGAGGGGAUUGGGAGGGAUUGGGAGGGACUGGGAAGGACUGGGAGGGGAUUGGGAGGGGACUGGGAGGGGAUUGGGAUAAAAAAAAAAAAAAGGGAGGGGGAAAAAAUAGAGACCGGGAGGGAACUGGGAGGGGAUUGGGGGGGACUGGGAAGGGGAAGGAGGGAUUGGUGAUGAACUGGGAAGGGACUGGAGGGACUGGGAGGGGACGUGGGAGGGGAUUGAGGGGGGACGGGAGGGAACUGGGAGGGAUUGGGGGGGACUGGAG
This 943-nucleotide long non-coding RNA is filed under the name Manacus vitellinus (golden-collared manakin). RNAcentral describes it as "lncRNA (ENSMVIG00005013374.1)". Lineage: Eukaryota; Metazoa; Chordata; Aves; Passeriformes; Pipridae. The record is from RNAcentral.